Molecule: ribosomal RNA, 305 nt
Filed under: uncultured bacterium
Lineage: Bacteria
Description: bacterial SSU rRNA
Rfam family: Bacterial small subunit ribosomal RNA
Source: RNAcentral
ACCUACGGGGGGCAGCAGUAGGGAAUUUUCGUCAAUGGGCGCAAGCCUGAACGAGCAAUGCCGCGUGAACGAGGAAGGUCUUCGGAUCGUAAAGUUCUGUUGAAGGGGAAAAAGAGCGGAGAGAGGAAAUGGUCUCCGAUUGAUAUUACCCUUCGAGGUAGUCACGGCUAACUACGUGCCAGCAGCCGCGGUAAUACGUAGGUGGCGAGCGUUAUCCGGAAUGAUUGGGCGUAAAGGGUGCGUAGGCGGCCUGCUAAGUCUGGAGUGAAAGGUACCGGCUCAACCGGUACAGGCUCUGGAAACUG